Molecule: ribosomal RNA, 498 nt
Filed under: uncultured bacterium
Lineage: Bacteria
Description: partial 16S ribosomal RNA
Rfam family: Bacterial small subunit ribosomal RNA
Source: RNAcentral
AUUGAACGCUGGCGGCAUGCCUUACACAUGCAAGUCGAACGGUAACAGGUCUUCGGAUGCUGACGAGUGGCGAACGGGUGAGUAAUACAUCGGAACGUGCCUAGUCGUGGGGGAUAACUACUCGAAAGAGUGGCUAAUACCGCAUGAGAUCUACGGAUGAAAGCAGGGGAUCGCAAGACCUUGUGCUACUAGAGCGGGCGAUGGAAGAUUAGGUAGUUGGUGGGAUAAAAGCUUACCAAGCCGACGAUCUGUAGCUGGUCUGAGAGGACGAUCAGCCACACUGGGACUGAGACAUGGCCCAGACUCCUACGGGAGGCAUCAGUGGGGAAUUUUGGACAAUGGGCGAAAGCCUGAUCCAGCAAUGCCGCGUGCAGGAUGAAGGCCUUCGGGUUGUAAACUGCUUUUGUACGGAACGAAAAGCCCCGGGUUAAUACCCUGGGGUCAUGACGGUACCGUAAGAAUAAGCACCGGCUAACUACGUGCCAGCCGCCGCAGUAA